Prosopis cineraria is the source of this 2923-nucleotide long non-coding RNA. RefSeq lists it as uncharacterized. Lineage: Eukaryota; Viridiplantae; Streptophyta; Magnoliopsida; Fabales; Fabaceae. The record is from RefSeq and is a predicted model, not a curated record. The transcript is spliced from 6 exons.
GAUAGAGGCCAAAAGGAGAAUUACUUUUGCAAUUUUUGAUUCUGUGAAAUUACCAAAAUGCCCUUCUUCAAAUCUGAUAUAUUCCUCUUCUUUCUUUCUCUUUAUCAGAUCCGUGUGUGCUGAUCGGUGGAGAGAGAGCUUGAGGAUUUUCUAGAAUAUUCGAACCCUCAUCCGGACUUCUAUCCUCCGCCAUCAGCUCUGUCACUCUACUGGUCACCGGUGACUCCAUAAACGCCGGAGUCUUCACCGUGGGAAAGGAUAAAUGGGCUGUCUGUAGCUUGUGGUUAUGAGCUCGCCGGUGUGCUUGCCGUUGCUGUUGUCUCAUCCGUCCUUGAUCAACAAAAAUGUGACGUCUUCCUCCUCCUCUGUUCCAGAUCGAUUUUUUUUUCCUUUUUUCAUCAUUGGCGUGGCUGUGCAGCGAUCUUCCUCUCUUUCACUGUGCAGACGAACAUUCUCUUCCCCCUCUUGGUUUGCGUGUUGUUAGUUUAUUCAAGGGUGUGUGGAAGAACAGGACCUUGAAAAAGAAUUAAAGGAAGAAUAUCUUUGGGAAUUUGGAACUCCGACGAAUUUGUUAGCUGAUGCUGAUCCUACCAUCAACCUCUAAAGGGCAACUAGCUACAGUGGGUGAACCUUUUUGAUUGGUAUUGUUGCUUUAAUGUAAUAUAGAAAUUGUAUGUCUUUUGAUUUGAAAGAAAGAGUAGAUGCUCCACAUAGGUUACUGAUAAACUUUAUUUUUGGUCUGUAUAUUGGUUGCUGGCUGGAAGGAGCUACGCUCCUGAUUUAUACUAUUAUCUGUAAAAUUUUUGUUGUAGAAUUUUCGGGGAGAUUCUAGUUACAGGGGAGGUUCUGCCGAAAUUUCUACCAAAAAAAAAAAGUCGACACUUUCUUAUGAUAAUGAGUUUAAAGGAGUUAUUUAAUUCUCUUGUGACUUGAUCAAAUUUUGUUCUUCUCUUUGUAAAAUGGAAUAAAUAUUCAUUUUGAGGCUUACGGGAAUGUGUGAGAGGUUCAUACCCGUGCCGGUCACUCUCUAUUUUUAGGGCGUGACACAUGUAAUUGAGAUUUGGUUGGACAGAUCUAGCAUAGUUAUAAGCAAAUCUAUAGAUGAAUAGAGCUCGUGGUAACAAUAGAGAUUGGCAUAACAUCAUGGACAAUGGACGAACUCGAGAAGUAUGAAGAGCAAGAAGUCGACUGGAAAGCAACUACUUAUGUUUUUGUGAGGAUAGGUUCCAAGACCACUCAUUACCUAUUGCUAUCGCAUCUCUGCUUCAGCAAGUGUAAGGAUGUACAACGAUGAUGAGUGGAAGGCUGUGUAGCUGUUAAAGAGAAGAUCCAACUACCGCUAGCAGUUAGUGACCUCAAAGAUCACAUCAUUUAAGGUGAUGUAUAAUAAAUUAAGGAUUACAGCCAAGCAAAAUCGAGAGAUAGAGUAGAAGAAAUAGUCAAGGAUGAUUCUCUUCAUUUAUGGGCGCCAUUAUGAGUGUUAGUAGGAAGUUGGGAUUUAACUCUAGUCGUUCCAGCAAGUUUGACAUGUGUAGUGACUGGAAGAAAAAAAUGUAAAGGAGAUCUCAGUCCAAGGGAUCAUGCCAAGGAGUAAUGCCCUCAAGAGUAGUAGGAUGUCAUAGCAAGGUCAUCUACCUCCUACCUAUGUGACUGGACCAACCAAGGCCCCACAAUGUGACAAAUAUGGAAAAAACUACAAAGAUGAACGUUGGACCUACUUCAGAUGCAACUAGGUAGAUCACAUUACUAGGUAUUGAAUUGAGAAGUAGAGCACCUUAGAGUAGAAGUCGAUGUUUCCUGAUUGAGUGUCUACAAGGUCUAAGGAAGAGGCUAAGACAUCUCUAAGUUUAUUAGAGGUAUUAUUUCUCUCUAUGGUUACUAUAUAGAUGCAUUGUUUGACUAUAGAGCCAUGCAGUCGUUCAUGUCGAAUGAUUGGGCAAAAAAGCUAAAUAUGUAUGUACGUACUGCCAUACGUGAUGACAAUGUUUACCUUGGCUAGUGCCACUAUACAUACUAGUCGUGCUUGUUUGAAUAUAGAGUUGAAAUUUAGUAGUUAUAUCACUACAAUAAACUUAUGCUAUGUUUGGAUACACAUGGAUUUGGAUUUAAAUUUGAGCUAAAUCUAAAUCCAAGUUCUACCUCAAUCUCUUUAUAAUUUAAAAUCAUUUCCAAACCUUUAUUAUUUCAAAUCAUAACUCAAUCUCUUUUAUAAUUUCACUCAAAUCCAUAAAGGCUAAUCGACCUGCCAACGAUAAUUAGACUGGACUGUUGAAGUUGACGGAAAUAAGCUACCACCAUUGACUGAGAUUGGACAACUGGCUUUUACCAGGAUGAGACAGCAGACUUCCACCUGAACCAACAGUGAUGACUAGUAUUGGAUAGCCAACUUCCAUCAAGACCAGACCGAUAGUGAUGAUAGGGGCCGGAUGGACGGUUAACUUCCACAGGACUAUACCAAUGGUGAUCAUUAAAAUUGGACCGACGGUGACCAUCGAGACCAAACCCACGACGACAAUUGAGAUAGUACAACCGACUUGCAUUAGGACAGGAUGAGUGACUUCAAUUAAGACAAGACCUAGUGGAAGUCAGCCGUCUGGUCCCGAUCAUCAUUGUUGGUCCGGUCCUGGUGUAAGUUGAUCAUCCAUUCCAAUGGCCACUGUUAAUCCAAUCCCUAUUGAAAUUAGCCAUCUGGUCUUGAUCAUCAUCAUUAGUUUGAUUCCUGUAUAAGUUAGUUGUCUGAUCUAAUGGUUGUUAUCGGUUCAGUCCCAAUGUAAGUCAACGAUCCGGUCUGAUGUUCACCAUCAGUCCAUUCCUUAUGAAAUUGGUCAUCUGGUGCCCGUCCUUGCCGUCUGUCUAGUUCUAGUGGAAGUUGACUAUUCGACAUUAGUCAUCAUCGUUGAUCCGGUCUCGAUGGAAGUUGUAA